CCCUUUCCAAAGCAGAUAAAGGAGAUGGGAUAUACAAAAAGUGGACUUAUGCUCUGCCCCACAGUUUUGUGCAAGAGGACAAAGUAGAUGAUUGUGACUGGCCUAUGACCAGUCACCAACCUAUGACCUUGCUUAACAAGAGAUAUCUUUCUCUCUGGCUCUGCCCCAUAAUAUGAAACUGAAAUGGCUGCUCAAAAUUAAUAUCUGGCAAAUACAGAGCCAAUGUGCAGCUAUAUUGCUUUGGAGAGCAUGGAAGCUGCCAGCAGAGAGCCAGCCUGAGAGGGUCAAGUCCUACCCUCUGUCUGCCCAUCAAAAGGAGUGGAAUUACUGUAUUGCUGAGCUAUGGGGGAGUCAGGAGAAGCCUCAGCUAAUCUUAUGCCUCUGGCUGCAUCCUGAUCUCUGCAGAUGAAGGCUAUAAAUACGUACUUUAAUUCUGUGGCUGCCAAGGUGCUUCUCUCCAAGCAGCAGACUACUGGUUGCAAGAUACCUGAUGCCACUGAUGAUCUAGAAGGAGCUGAUGUGGUGCAGCAAAUUUAAAUUCUUUUUCUUUUCUUCUGGUACACCACAAUUCUGUUUCUAAUGGUUAACCCUUUAGGCUGACUCCUUGGAGUAACAUUACUAGGACAAAUGGGAUUUAAUCCUUUUUUUUCUCUGAGGCUGUAUCAGAGUACAUAAAAAUUGUUGCCCACUGUUUGUACUAUUUUCAUCACUAUCUAAGAGACAGGCUGAGCACUCCCAUGUGUUUCUUUAAGGAACUUUGUGGUGGGCCAUUGAAAUCACUCAUGCCUCCUCCAGUUUAUGAUAGAGCAGCAAGAAGGGUUUGAGGGAAGAUAGUGAUUCCAAAACAUUACCUCCAUCAUCUGUGCUCUGAGAAGGAGGGCAGUGAGAUGCAAUUCACAUCAGAUUUUCCUAGUGAUCCUUCCUCCCUUAACCUUCUCAACACUGUAGGGCUGCAUUUUAAUGAUUUUUUUUCGUUUUGUUUUACUAUUCAAAUUUUCAUCUCCAUGAACUUGAAAGAAAUGCUAUGGAUCAUAUGGGCUUUCCUUUUAAAUGCAAGGUGUUCAAUAUAUUCUUAAAUCUGUUUUCAGUGGUCCUCAAUUACUCUUCAUUUUCAUCUGGAAAAACUAGCCACAAAUGAGAUUUCUUAGAGGUGAUCCCUAUCUGAAGGAUUACUGGGCAAGUAGUGAUAAAUACAUAAGGAUCUAGAAAUGGUAGAAUUCUAGUUGAUGUGAUUUGCAGACCAUCUUGCCCAAUAAAAGUGCUCAGCAGAAAAUCUAUCAGUAGAAUUGUUCUGUUUCAGCUGGUAGAAAGACCAUUUUCUUCUGAGUAGCUGGUACAGUGCUGUGUUUGGGAUUUAGUAUGAAAACAAUGUUGACAACACACUGAUGUUUUAGUUGCUAAGUGGUGCUUACCCUAAAUCAAAGACUUUUCAGUUUCCUACGCCCAGUUUUCCAUUCCCAGUGAGCAGGUGCACAAGAAAGUGGGAGGGAGCAUGGCCAGGACAGUUGAAAGGAACUGGCCAAAGGAAUAUUCUAUACUAUAUAUAGAAUAUAUAUUCUGUUCUAGAGUAUCAUGCCCAGAUUAUAAACUAGGAAGAUUGGCUGGGAAUCACCGAUCAGUGCUCAGGAAAAGUCUAGCCCUCAGUCAGUGGGAGGUACCCUAAGGAAAGUUGUUUUGAACUGAUGCAUGAGAUGAAAAUUCUGUUUGCAUCUGGGCAUCACAGUCACCAUUUUUCUCACCCUUUGUUAUGUAGACACUCAAAUUCUCCCAUCAAGACAGAACAACGUGCAGAGUGGUGGAAAAGAUUUUUUUUUAAAAGGGAGAAAAAGGAAAAAUUUUAAAAAGCUUUAAAGGGAGAAUAUGCUUACUAUAAUAAAACAUAUACUGCGAUCCAAAAAAGGCCUUUUAAUUAAAACCUGAAAUAUGUA
This is a long non-coding RNA of Passer domesticus (house sparrow), 1928 nucleotides long. RefSeq lists it as uncharacterized. The transcript is spliced from 2 exons. NCBI's taxonomy places the organism in Eukaryota, Metazoa, Chordata, Aves, Passeriformes, Passeridae. The record is from RefSeq and is a predicted model, not a curated record.